GACGAACGCUGGCGGCGUGCCUAAUACAUGCAAGUUGAGCGCUGAAGGUUGGUACUUGUACCAACUGGAUGAGCAGCGAACGGGUGAGUAACGCGUGGGGAAUCUGCCUUUGAGCGGGGGACAACAUUUGGAAACGAAUGCUAAUACCGCAUAAAAACUUUAAACACAAGUUUUAAGUUUGAAAGAUGCAAUUGCAUCACUCAAAGAUGAUCCCGCGUUGUAUUAGCUAGUUGGUGAGGUAAAGGCUCACCAAGGCGAUGAUACAUAGCCGACCUGAGAGGGUGAUCGGCCACAUUGGGACUGAGACACGGCCCAAACUGCUACGGGAGGCAGCAGUAGGGAAUCUUCGGCAAUGGGCGAAAGUCUGACCGAGCAACGCCGCGUGAGUGAAGAAGGUUGUCGGAUCGUAAAACUCGGUUGGUAGAGAAGAACGUUGGUGAGAGUGGAAAGCUCAUCAAGUGACGGUAACUACCCAGAAAGGGACGGCUAACUACGUG
This 497-nucleotide ribosomal RNA is filed under the name uncultured bacterium. RNAcentral describes it as "partial 16S ribosomal RNA". It matches the Rfam family "Bacterial small subunit ribosomal RNA", at positions 28 to 507 of the family's 1533-position model. The record is from RNAcentral.